Molecule: long non-coding RNA, 1068 nt
Organism: Bos taurus (domestic cattle)
Lineage: Eukaryota; Metazoa; Chordata; Mammalia; Artiodactyla; Bovidae
Source: Ensembl
CAAAAGGCCAAAGUGGGAGGCGGCGCCGCGCGCGCGGAGCCCCGGCGGCCGGGGGGCGCCCGUGCGCGGGCCGGGCCGGGCGGCUCCCCACCCCGGGGCUGGAGCAGCCGCGGCGAACCCCAUGGCACCGCCGGGGGAGCGGAGGGCCGCGCCCGGGCGGGGAGGCUUCGGGGCGGCGCGGAAAUCCGGUGAAGUCCUACAAGACAACGGAGCUCGUGGAUUGGUGCUCACUCCCCAUCCUGUGUCACACCACCUCCCUGCGUUCCCGGGACAGUUCUCAACCUCCCACUCCUGGCCGCUCACACCGAGGGCCUCUGCUCUCCAUCUCCUGUGACUCUGCACCCCUGUACCCAGUGGGGAGAUCCUGGGCACGAGUGCAGGGGGGAUGGGCAUGCCAUGUGUAUCAGGGCAAAGCAGUGGCCAUCCCAGCACCAGGCUGGCAGCACCUGGACACAUUCAGAGAGCAACUUGGCAGCUGUGUGAGCCUCUUGCCCUUCCCUGUCCAGGUACUUAGUGCGUCAUGGCACAGAAGUAACCAUAUUCUAGUUAUGCAGGCGGUUGACCUGUGGCUGGGUUGGGUCUGAGGCCUCAAGGGAAGGGGACCUGCCUGGCUUGAGAUCCAGGGGUGCUGGCCACUGGUUGGCAGGAGUAUAACCUGGCUGCUCUUUGCCUUGUCAUCUGUAUGGUCUGACUCCCUCUGUGUGUAUCCCUGUGCCCAAGAGACUGUGACAGUAAGCAGGAAAUAAAGACCACAAGUUAAGAGAGACACCAUGGAAGAAAGGAAAGAGUUCUCCCUGCAUGUUGAACCGGGGACCUGCCUUUUCAUUUUUCAGUGAGCCCUGUAAAUUAUGUGCCAAGCCUGCCUGCUCUGACUUUAUCCUUAUGUCAGGCAGUGAUUCCAGCACUCUGAUCAUCCAAGCCAGAAUUCUGGGAAUCAUCACUGACUUUUCCCCUUUUCCUGUCCCCCUAGGUAUUUCUAGUGUCUUCAUUUCCAAAUGCCACUGACUUAGUUCAGAUAAGUAAAAGAAAUUUGGAAUGAUCCUGGUUUUGAUUAAGCCACCUGUGAUA